UCCAUCCCGACUUCGUCUGCAUUCGGCAGGACGGCUCCCCUGGUGCUCGGCGUGGCUGGAGCCCUGAGCAGCCGGAGGGUGGGUAUCUGCAAGCCUGCACGGCAGCCCUGGGUGAGAAGUUCUUCUGCAAGGAGUCAGCGUUAGCAGUGGGCGAUGCCUUCGAGCACCCUGGGGCAAGUUACAGCAUGCGUGGGACAGUUGCUUGUGCUCUCCAGUACUGGGUAUUAUCUGUGGAGGACAGCGCAGCUCGUUAUUCUGGUUUGGAAGCAGAACUUGGGAGGAGCCAGUAUCAGACAGGAACGGCAGAGCCCGCUGCCAAGAAGAACGGAGGAGGCCGCUUGCCUUUCUGCCUUGCAGAUACUCGGCCUUUCGGAGGGAGCCGGGCAGCUGCUGCGAGAUGUCUACGAUCAUGAAGUGGUUUGGGAGAGACGAGGACAAGGACAAGGACAAAGACAAGGAGAAGGAGAAGAUCAAGG
Long non-coding RNA from Alligator sinensis (Chinese alligator), 476 nucleotides. RefSeq lists it as uncharacterized. Lineage: Eukaryota; Metazoa; Chordata; Crocodylia; Alligatoridae. The record is from RefSeq and is a predicted model, not a curated record. The transcript has 3 exons.